AUUAUGCAAGACUCUUCCCCUGAUUUUUUCUCUUCAAAGUUAUCUCAUAAGCUAGCUUUGCAGGCACAAUAAGAGAGUUAAAAUUGCUUUAUCAGGGUUAUGUCUCUGUUACCUCAUGUUGGUUCUUUGUCUUGCAGAACCCGGGCUGGUAAUCUGAUGUAUAGGAAAAGGACUUGAACUUGUGUCUUCUACAUCCCACGUGAAUGCCCUAACCCCUGAGCUGCAAAGACAUUCUCACACUUCAGCUGACCCAGUAACUAAUUAUUUACACAAAGAGGAGCAGCUUCAACAGGAGAGAUUGUGUCCCACUGGCAUACCCCACAGCCAACAACUAGUGCACACUCCAGAGAGAUCCUGCUUCUAUAGGAGUAUUGCAGCAGUCGAUGAGUGACCAAAUGGCAUUGACAACUUCAGAGAAGGGAGUUCUCUACUCUGAAAUGAGGAAGGACAUAGGAAAAAGAAAUGUGUAUGCCAAGGCUCAAAGUAGAUUGAGCUGCCCAGACUCUUAAGCCCAGACAAAAACAGAAUGGGUCUCAGCUGCAAGGGGCGAUGCUGGAAAGGUGGCUGAGUCUGAUUCCUGAAUGGCAAACAGAGAAUGCCCCAUGUCCACUUUGAGGUAUUGGAAAGAGUUGGGAUAGAAUGUCACCGAUCGUACCAGCAUUGUCUCCUUCCCCAUUCAAUGACCGGUCAAACUCCUCUGCAGACAGAUGACCUGUUAUCCUUCCCCAAGAUACACCAGCACCAUUUCCAUGAGUUGAUGGUGGCUGGCAAGAGCAGGUGGGUGGUUUCUAAAUGCUCUUCUUGAUAGAUGCUAUUCUACUUGACCUUUUUGAAGAGGAAAUGGUGAAGAGGAAACACUCUGAACCCGUUUCAUAGGGGAACGUGUAUUGUUUUUGCAAUGACAAUGGUUGAUUGUUCACUAAACUCUUUGCCAAAAAGUAACUUUGAUGGUUGGCUAUAUGUCUUGUCUGUCUGUUUUUCCAACACCGUGGACACAUUCAUCCUCCUGGUGGUUUCAUCUGUAGCAGAAAUGGAAAAAUCUGGUGUUCUUUUAGACAGCCCCCUGCUGGAACCCUAUAAAAGCACAGAAACUAAGGAAGUUUUCACAGCAUCUAGAGUUAGAGCUUGCUGUGAGAAACUGGCCAUAAACAUUAAAAAAAAUGAAAGCAAAA
This is a long non-coding RNA of Chrysemys picta bellii (western painted turtle), 1172 nucleotides long. RefSeq lists it as uncharacterized. The record is from RefSeq and is a predicted model, not a curated record. NCBI's taxonomy places the organism in Eukaryota, Metazoa, Chordata, Testudines, Emydidae.